GUAUAAAUAGCACUGACUUUGUUAUUCUAAAUACAAAGACCUAAAAAUAACAACUAUGACCAAAAGUCUAAAAUAUUUAAAAAAUGACAAUUGUACGGUGACAAAUUAAAUAACACUAGCUGAGAAUAGUAUGGGACUUCCUCUGUAGUUCCUGAAUAUUUCGGCUUCUUUUUAAGUUUGUGUUCAACAAUAUUAUUGUCUCAUGUUUAUCUUGAUUUGUUAACAAGCAUCUAUUUAGCCACAGCUCUGUGUCUGCAGCAUUAUGCUGAGCCCUGAGAAGUGUCCCUGGAUACCCAGAAAGCCCCAAGCCCCAUGGAGUCAAGAUCCUCCUCUUGUAUUUAUGCAGUCACUUUCAUCUUUAAUAUUCUACUGUCUUGCAUCCUCCCUAAUAUGACUUCUUUCUUUUGGUUGCCAAGAGCUUCUCC
RNAcentral lists this long non-coding RNA (425 nucleotides) under Bos taurus (domestic cattle). RNAcentral describes it as "long non-coding RNA NONBTAT006274". The record is from RNAcentral. Lineage: Eukaryota; Metazoa; Chordata; Mammalia; Artiodactyla; Bovidae.